Molecule: non-coding RNA, 21 nt
Organism: Caenorhabditis elegans
Lineage: Eukaryota; Metazoa; Nematoda; Chromadorea; Rhabditida; Rhabditidae
Source: Ensembl
UGAACUCUUGGUCUACGUUUU